RNAcentral lists this ribosomal RNA (400 nucleotides) under uncultured bacterium. Its description in RNAcentral is "bacterial SSU rRNA". It matches the Rfam family "Bacterial small subunit ribosomal RNA", at positions 355 to 769 of the family's 1533-position model. The record is from RNAcentral.
UCGGGAAUAUUGGUCAAUGGACGAAAGUCUGAACCAGCAAUGCCGCGUGAGUGAUGAAGGUCUUCGGAUCGUAAAGCUCUGUCUUUGGGGACGAAGAAAGUGACGGUACCCAAGGAGGAAGCCCCGGCUAACUACGUGCCAGCAGCCGCGGUAAUACGUAGGGGGCGAGCGUUGUCCGGAAUUACUGGGCGUAAAGGGCGAGUAGGCGGCUAUACAAGUCAGAUGUGAAACACCAGGGCUCAACCCUGGUACUGCAUUUGAAACUGUGUAGCUUGAGUACAGGAGAGGAAAGUGGAAUUCCCAGUGUAGCGGUGAAAUGCGUAGAUAUUGGGAGGAACACCAGUGGCGAAGGCGACUUUCUGGACUGUAACUGACGCUGAGGCGCGAAAGCGUGGGGAGC